GACGAACGCUGGCGGCAGGCCUAACACAUGCAAGUCGAGCGAGGACUUCGGUCCUAGCGGCGGACGGGUGAGUAACGCGUGGGAACGUGCCCUUUGCUUCGGAAUAGCCCUGGGAAACUGGGAGUAAUACCGGAUGAGCCCUUUGGGGGAAAGAUUUAUCGGCGAAGGAUCGGCCCGCGUUGGAUUAGGUAGUUGGUGGGGUAAUGGCCUACCAAGCCGACGAUCCAUAGCUGGGUUGAGAGGAUGAUCAGCCACACUGGGACUGAGACACGGCCCAGACUCCUACGGGAGGCAGCAGUGGGGGAUCUUUGACAAUGGGGGAAACCCUGAUCUAGCCAUGCCGCGUGAGCGAUGAAGGCCUUAGGGUUGUAAAGCUCUUUCAGCUGGGAAGAUAAUGACGGUACCAGCAGAAGAAGCCCCGGCUAACUCCGUG
RNAcentral lists this ribosomal RNA (433 nucleotides) under uncultured bacterium. Its description in RNAcentral is "partial 16S ribosomal RNA". It matches the Rfam family "Bacterial small subunit ribosomal RNA", at positions 28 to 507 of the family's 1533-position model. The record is from RNAcentral.